Molecule: long non-coding RNA, 29147 nt
Filed under: Solanum tuberosum (potato)
Lineage: Eukaryota; Viridiplantae; Streptophyta; Magnoliopsida; Solanales; Solanaceae
Description: long non-coding RNA (STUB_LNC006051)
Source: RNAcentral
CAGUGUCCUUCCGCCUACUUGCAAAGUAAAGCAAGCAUGGCUUCAGGUGAUCAGGUAAGCGGUCAUAACUUAUUUCUAUAACUUUCAUCACUUCCACUUCAUUCUUCAAAAUAAAGGAAUGCAAAUUAUUUAAAACUUCAAGCCACACACUUUUUUUCUUUUCCCUCCCAGCAAUGACUCCAGAAAUCAGAUCAGCCACCAAAGGAAGCCCUUUACAAUUUUCGGCUAUUUCUUUUCCAACAUCCAAUAAUUCAUUAGGAAAACUCUCGUUUCCAAAAACCCUUUUCUCUAAUAACUCCCAACUUUCUUCUGAUCUUAGCAAUCGAAGGUUAAGAGGAGCAGUGUAGAGCUUUCCAUGCAAAGCCACUUCCUUUUCUCGAGUUGUCAAAAUAAUUCUACUUCCUUUCUUAGCUUUAGGAAAAGGUCUUGUUAACUCAUCCCAUGUAGUGGUAUCCCACACGUCAUCUAAGACAAUAAGAUACCUCUUUCCAUACAGUUGUUUCCGUAGCUUAUCAACAACAUCAAUAUUCUCACUCAAUUUUGAAUCUGAGUCACUAACUUGAUUGAAAAUUUUAUCCAACAACUUCUUCUCGUCAUAUCCUUGGUCGACCGUGCACCAUGCACGAAGGUCGAAAUGGCUAGAAACUGAUUUAUCAUUGUAUACUUUGUAGGCCAAAGUAGUUUUACCUGAACCCGGCAUACCAGUGAUCGAAAUGACAUUUAGAUCUGCCGUCCACUGGUGAGCUUUCUAAGUAUCAAGUUUGUCUCCUCCUCAAAACCUACAAUUAUUUUACCAGCUGUCAAUGACUUGCUUUCAACUGGCCUGGGGGUGUUUACAACAAUGAGGCUCAUAUUCUUGGGAAUCUUCUCAUGUAAAUCAGAGACGGUGACUUGCUCUCAACUGGUUUUUUUGGGAGAGUUCACAACGAUGAGACCUCUGUUCUUUGGAAUCUUCUCAUGUAAAUCAGAGACCUCUUCUUUGAUAAGUUUCAUCUUCUUUUAUGGUAAUGGGGAAGUGAGAAAAUAAGAUGCAAGAGACCAUUAUCUCGAACAAUAAUUGAAUCAAUGACAUCUUUUGCCUCAUAAGCCACAUCUAAACCGCGUGCCCAAAGAUCUUUAUACAUUUCUUGUUCAACAUUCACCAAGAACGAUCUUAUGAAUUCUAGGUCUUGCUUCACCAGCUCAAUUUCUUCCCUUAUCAAAGCAAUUGAAUAAGCAUUGGAAUCUAACAAAUCCUUUAAGUGUAUGUGCAGCAGAUGCAUGAAGAGUGGUCCUUCACUCAUGGGGAAGCAACAUUGAGAUGAAUCCGGGGCUUUCAGAUAAACAUGUUUGAGAUCUUUCUUGAGGAGUUCAAUAUUUUCCAGCAAGUCUAGAGUGGCACGGUUUGUCUCAUCGGUACCCUCUUUAUUCCUUAAUUUCUCUUCCAAUUCGCGUACAAGAGUUGAUACCUCCCUGGUAAGUGCUCCAACACGAGCCAAGAGACCAAAAAGUUUGUCAUGAUGAAUAAAGUCCUUGGGCAUAUCAGAAAGAAUAAUCAAUAGGAAUUCCAUCAUGACAUGAAUGUUUCGAGCCCCUGAAGUGUUAGGGGUAAUAACAGUUAUCAUAUGCUCUUGUAGAUGAAUCAGAUAUUCUCUGAGAAUGUCCGGAGAGGUUACCAGGAGCUGCUUAAUGAAGCGUCCAAUUUUUGCUGAAGUUGAAGCUUUCAAAUUUGUAUGACAUAUGUGCAUAACCUCCAGUUCAGUUGGAACAAUCUUCAAGAGUAGAUGUGCUAGCUUGGAGAGGUGAGGGUCUUCAUCAGUAAGAACCUCCCAAAGGAAGUGUCCUACUCUCUCAGCCAUGAGUUGAUACUGAGGUAAGACAUAUUCAACAAUCUCGUGCUCAAUGCAACCAUUCACUAUCAAGCCAUGGAAAUAUCUUACGUUGCCACACACAUUCUGAAGAAUCUCAUACUGAAACAUGUGCUCAGCAAGAUGCUUGGGUAGAUGAUGGAGAUUCAGGAGGAGGAAAUCCAACUGCUCCUCAGUCAUGGUGGUACUUGAUUUAGAUCGAUGAUGUGAGCUGAUACAAUGAUCGAUAUUAACCCUGAUGCUAGCAAGGACAUGAUGCAUGUUGUAUUUAUACCUGACAUUGUUAUCAUGAUCAUACAAAAUUGAUCGAAGCAGAUUUUCAACCUCUUGUAUUUCGCCAGUCAUUACAUUUUUAAACUGCUCCAAAUCGGUAUAAGAAAGCUGGACAUAUGUACAAAUAAAGGUCAAGAGCUCUUUUUAUUUUUCCUCAUUCUUUAAUCUCUCUAGGAAAUCCAGAACAUCUGCAAUGUCCUUGCGAAGAGCAGAAAAUAACACCUGCCAAAAUAACACAUAUCAAAAUUUUAAAGCCACACAUCUACAAUUCAAUACAUUACAGUUUACUCUAUCAAAUAACAUACCAAUGUGUUGUUUGCUUCUUCUUUCUCUAUUUCUCCUUCAUUAUCUUUUCGUUUUUCCAUGAUUCUAAUUUUCCUUUCCAAGUUCUGAAGACGUGAUGCAUAAAAGUACAUAAAAGUUUAUCAGGAGAAUAAGAUGAAAAGACAAGAAUAAUUAAUAAUUUUCAUUGGACAGACAUUUUAAGCGAGCUUAAGAGGAGGUCUUAAGUUGAAGAAAAUAAAGGUGAGUGUUGAAUUUUUGAAAGUUUUUGCAAAAUAAACUUGUAACCAUAAUCCUGUUGUCAAGUUCAUUUCAUUAAAUUUUGGCUACUCUUUUUUACUAUUUUCACGCGAAAAGAUUUUCAUUUUGCAGUUGUUUUCAUAUUUAUAAAUAAAAAUAAAAAUUAUUUGUUAGCGUUGGUAAAAGUCUCACAUUGGUUGGGGAAUGGAUUAGUGCUCUCCUUAUAUGGACUUGGGCAAUACACCCCUCAUGAGCUAGAUUUUGAGGUUGAGUUAGGCCUAUGUGUCAUAUCUUUACAUAAUAUUAGAGUCAGGUCCAUCCCCAUUUGGGCUCCCGGUCCACACUCUAGUUCGGCCUAGGCAUGAAGGGGAGGGGGGGGGGGUGUUAGAGUGGUUAAACUUGGCAAUCCUCCCCCUGAGCUAGCUUUUGAGAUUGAGUUAGUCCUAGGCGUCAUAUUUUUACGUUAUUGAGUUUUUGUCAAACAUCAAAUGGUGCAUAAAGAGCAAGUAUAGUAAUUUUAGAUUCACACAAUUAGUUUCUAACAUGUAUAAUGGACUACAAAACUAAAUCUCUCGUUUAUCUUGUGCAGUCUUUUGUCUAGAAAUCUGAUAGACUACCCCUCUUUAGACUACUUUCUGUUUUCUUUAAUUACCCCUCAUUUUUUGGAUUUUUAUUAGCAAUACUAUAGUGGGAUUUCAAAAAAAAAUUGGUAUUCAUCCAUAAACAAGACCAAGUGGUACUGAACCUUUAUAUCUCUAAUAGCUUUAGUAAUAUAUUUUCAUUAGUGAGGGGGAAUUUUUCAUCAUCUUAGAAAAAAUCUAAAAGAUCUGCUUCUAUUCACUCCGUUCUCUCCAACCCCCUCCCUCUCAUCCGGUAAGAAUUCACCCUUACCGGAUGUAAAUACCAAACUAAUACAACUUAUCACGGGUAAGUAAUAAUUUAAUGAGGUGAAUAUAUACAUUAACUAACUACGAUUAAGUGAUAAGGUCAUGCAUCUAAUUGAUUUGUUGUAAACGGCCGCUAAGAGUAAGUAUUUAGUCAUCUCUCUUUCUCCUGCAUUUUGUUUCCCUUUAUAGAUCCAACUAACCUACCAAAUUUCUUUCAUUUUCCUUACAUCAUUUUUACUUUUCCAUAAUUUUACUUCAAUAGAGAUGAGAGUAGCAAAUAUUAGAUUAGUUGACUAACCUUUUUAGUUGAUGAAACUAUAUAUCCUCUGCUUGCUUGCUUUGUUAUUUGAUCAAUACAGCUUAAAAUUCUGGAAAUAAACAGAGGAAUAAUUAAGACCAAAUAUGAUGCAUAGUAUUACUCCAAAAAAGUAAGAAAGCAAAAGCAUGAUUGAAUUACAAUGGGGACUCACUUGUCUGCCCACAAAGGAAAAAAUAAGAAAAUUCUGCUCACUUUAUAUCACUUCCUCCGUUUUAUUUUAUUUGACACUAUUUUCUUUAUUUCUUAGUUAAAGGUUCUUAUAUUGCAUGUUUCAAAAAACAUAAAGAGGCAACCAUGCUAGAAGCAAAAUCCACUAUGCUAUAAUUAAUGGUCAUUUGGUAGCUGUAUAAAACAAGUCUUAUUCAUGUAUUAGAGUCCAACUCCUCCUCAGUCAUGGAUGUAGAACGAGGACAUGAGGUGAUACAAUCAUCGAUAUUAUCCAUGAGGCUACCAAGGACUUGAGGCAUGUUGUAUUUACACCCGACGCUAUUGUCAACAUUAACCAAAAUUGAUUGAAACACAUCUUUAAGCGGUUCUCUUAGGGAAGUCAUUACAUUUUCAAAUUGCUCCAAAUCGGAAUAAGAAAGCAGGAAGUGUGCACAAAUUAGUGCCAGCCUAAAUUUCAGCAGUUCAAUUACACCAUCUUCAAGAGCUAUUUGAUUUUCUUCAUUCUUUAACCUCUCCAUGAUAUCCACAACAUUGACGAGGUCCUUGCGAAGAGCAGAAAAUGACACCUGCCAAAAGACCAAAUGUUGUACUCCUAUCAAAUUUUCAAAGCCACUCCUAUCAUAUCAUCAUCAUAAUUCAUAUAGAUUUGAAGGGGAUAAAAUAUGUCAUUUGCAAUACAAAAUUUACAUGAAAUGUUUUGGGACGUUCCUAUAACUAGUAUCAUAUAAGAAUCUAAGUCAAAAAGUUGGAUUACGAAAAUACUCCUUAUCUAUUAAUUUAUUUUCUUUAAAUCAUUUUUAAUAAUUACUUUUUCAUUUAAUAAAUAACACAAUAAUCUACUUUAAAGUAUUUUUUAUUUUUUAAAAUUAUUUUAUUCUAAAAAUCAACUUUAUAACUACACCUCUUCAUUUUCAUAACUUAUAUUUUCAUAAUAUUCAUUAAUAUGGUGUCUUUAACCCACACAUUGUCAUCUUCAUGACUCUUAUCUUCUUAAUAAUGUCUAUUAUUUCUAUGUCUUUUCAAAUUCAUGACCCCAAAUGAUAUGUUAUAAUAUUAUUAAAUCUCUUAAAUUCAAUAGAUAAUAAAUGAAAUAUUCACUAUUAUUUAAAACCAUUUUCUUAAAUCUAUUAAUUUAUUUUCUUAAUAUCAUUUUUAAAAAUAACUUUUUCAUUUAAUAAAUAGCACAAUAAUCUACUUAAAGUAGUUUAUUCUAAAAAUCAACUCCAUAACUACACCCUCUUCAUUUCAUAAUGUGCCUUUAACCACAUAUUAUCAUUUUCAUAACUAAUUUAAUAAUAAAGAAACAACGAAGAAAUUCAAUAUUAAUUUUUUUAUGAAAUUAGUAUUUGUAUGUAGAAUCAAGUACUCCUACAAAAGAUAGAGAAAAUUUAAAUAUAAAAAAUACUUUAACAUAGUAUAGUAUAUUGUUAUUUCAAACUAUGACCUCUUAUUUCAUUUACUUUACCACAAUAAAUAUUUUAUUUUGUCUGAUAUACAUGUUGACACCCAAUUUUGACCCUCCUUUCUUCUAAUUUAUUGUUUUCAAGCUUCUAAUUUAAUAACGUAUAAAAUAAUCAUUUUUCACAACUAUUUUUACUAUUAUGACUAUAUAUCUUCUAAAAUUAUUAGUUUUAUUAUCAAAAUUACUAAUAUUAUAUUUUAUACCACUUUUCCUUAAAUAAUAGUUUUUCGUCAUUUUAUUUCAAGUUUCAUAUUUUAUUAAAAUAAUUAUAAGUUGAUAUUUUGUAUAUGUAUUUUAUAUAGCGUAAAGUCAUAAUAUUGAUAUUUUAUCAUGUAAAUUAUUAAGUUGUCAUCUUAGAAUAUUUUGCAUUAGUUACAAAGUAAGAAGCUCAAAAUAAUAUAAAAGAAGAAAGGAAAAAGGCUAAGAAAUUCAGCCCAAAACCCCAAAUCAGACAAAACUUUUCAGCCCACAUAUUAUGUCAAAAUAUGUCAAGAAUUAGGCCCAACUCACAUUUUACUCUUCAGCCUCAAAGUCUUAGAAUUAGAUGAGGUUUUUCUUUUCUCUGAACGCGCGUCCUUCUCCUCCAAAAAUGGCCAAAGCGUCAAGCCUCUUUCACCUUUGACAGACGCGCUUCUCCUUUUUUCAUGCAAAUCUCGUCUAUGCCGUUGAGUCUCCUCUUCUCUCUUUACUCGUGACGCAUCAGGGAUUUCAAAAUUCAAACGACAAAUUUGUUUCUGAAAACCCGCCUAAACUUGAGAAAGAAGAACCCUAAUUCCAUCCUAUAAGUAUUAGGAGGAAGUGUUUGUUUUGGACAAGUUUUUUUGCAGCCGCCGUCGUCCUCUUGAAACAAUCAUUUUGCCAUUGUGUCUUUAACCUCCGGAAAAAGCAUAUUUUCUCUAGCUUUUUCGGUUUUCGUUUGGUCACUGAUCAUAGCAGCCAAUACAUAUAUUUUUGCCUGCUCUGUUAUUUUCUUUGUUUUUCGAGUUAAGAUCGAGACCGCAAGCCUCCGUUCACUGCCCGCAACUGGUAAUAUCCGACCCUUUUUACCUCUGUUUUGCUAUUGCGAUGCCGAUUAAUGCUCUGUUUUGUUAUUGUGAAUAAAGUGUUAUGUAUACUUUGAUAAAUUUUAUGUAUCUUAGUUAUAUUAAAUUAUUUGCAUCUCCUUUGAGAACUAAAGUCAUUUCUUCUAACGUUUUUGCCGUUUCUUAUUUAAGAAAUGGUUUUACGAGCUUAGUUUCUUUCAUUCUGGGUUAACCGUUCUUUUGCUGCAUUUGUAUUAUAAAAGUUUGCAGCCCAUGUUUUCUUAAAUAAAAGUAUGUUUAAAAUGGAUGGUUUCUAUUUUGUAUAGUUAGAAUUUAAGUGAAAAAAUGUAAAUAUAUUAUGAUCAAAAGCAUUGCUCGUAACUUCUGCUCUAUAUUGCUAUAUAUGAGUCUGAGCUUGAGCCUUUGACUUAAGGAAUAAGUUUUGAUUUAGGUUGGGAUAUUAACUUGAAAUCAAUGCUUGUUAGUUACUUGUUUCCUCUGCUAGAUUGUAAACAUACUGGAUAUAGCUUCAUAUAUAUGAUAUGAAUUUUAAGCCUCUUUCAUGUUAUUUCCUUUAACAGAUAUGUAUGUGUAAGCUUCUUUCCUAAUUGUAAGUAAUGGCAUGUUAAAUCUCAACAUUUCGUUUGUAACCCAUAUCUUUUUAGCAAGAUAAUUUUUUUACCAUUUAAAAUUUAUACAGUGAUUAAAGAGAUUAUAUUAGUUGUUGUGAAUCACUAAUUAUUAUAAAAGUUAUAAUUUUUUGUAGCACUUAGCGCAUAUUUACAUGGUCAAAAUAGUUUAUUUGAUGUGUAAUCUUACUUAGAUCUACUUAUUUCAUUUUAAUAUAUCAUUUAAAGUCAAGUCAUACUAAUAAUCUUUUUACUCUCUCUUUCUUUACAUGUACACUUUGGAGCAAAAUUGAGUCUUAUAGACUUGACGUUAACCUCAUACCCGCACAUGGAGUCUUCACUACAUUUUUUACUAUUUCAAAUGGCAAACAAAACAAGCGAGCCUCGCUUGGAGUCACUCAUGGCUAUUUAUAUUUUAGCAUUAACUUGUUUAUUUAUUUUUCUUUAUAUUUUAUACUUGAAUAUGUUUUUAUUUUUGAAUUCUCAAAUACGUAACAUAAUAUAGAUAUUUGGGUUUGGGUACCUUUUAGUUAGAAGCAACCUUUAUUAGUCACUUUAGCUUUUAUAAACUUCAUUUGGCAAAAUCUUUUGGCAAAAGGGCCUGAUGGACCCUUAUACUUGUUUGUGUUUGUAUUGUGAACCCUUCUAUUUGCUCAUUUGUCAUAUGAACCCCCGAAUUCAUCAAAACAUAAUAUUUUAAACACUACUUUUGACUUGGCAUCGUAUGUGGCAGCUAAUACCAAAGAGCGUGUGACACACACCUAUUAGGAGCGUGAGACACUUGAAAAAGAGUCUAACAGUAACAUUAGAGCUUUAUCAUUUUCCUAUUUGCAUCCAACACCAUUGUUGAACAAAGUUUGAGGUUUUCUUGGCCUCUUUUUCUCAAUUACAAAUUAAACAACAAAUGAAUUCAAAAAUAAAUUGAAAAAACUAUCCAGAUAAGUUGAAAAUAAAACAAAAACAACAAAAACUCAAAUAAUUUUCAACAUUGACCCCUUAGUCAUCCACCACCCAAAUGACCCCCUGUUUCAAUUUCAAACCAACCUCAAACUUACUUCCUUCUUAUUGUCCUCCUCACCUUCUCCGACCAAACCGCCAUCGUUCUCACCAAUCUUCAACCAGCACCUAUAAGCAAGAACAACCAACAACAAAAACCCUAAACCAACUCCGCCAAUAAGCCUCGACCUUCACAACGCCGCCAACCCUGAGAUUCGGCGAGAUUGUUAACAACUAGAAACAAUCAGACCACCCAACAGACCCCCACUCUUCCUUAGCACCACCGGUCACCACCAAAGCCCAAAAUCAACUCCGAACUCCGAUGAUAUUGUGAACAAUCAAAAAGCAUGCCAACUUUUUUACUUCAAUGGAAAGAGUAGAAGAAGUUGGAAAAAGGAAAAGGGUAAGGAAGAUGAUAAAAAGGGACGACGACUGCUAUGGCAAAGAGAAAUAAAAUUGGAAAGAGACUCAUAGCUACAAUAAUUAAAUAUAAUAAAAGGAAAAAUAAUAUGGAGUGAAUAUAUAUACAUGUGUCAUUUUAUAAUCAUACGUGUCAUUUUAUAAUUAUUUUUAAAAUUACGUGCCAGGCGUUUGUAAUACACACAGUUGAGUAGUAAAAAAUGUGUUUAAAUUGUCGUGUUUCGAUGAGUUCAGGGGGUUCAAUUGACAAAGGGGUAAGUAGAAGGAUUCAUAAUACAAAUACAUACAAGUAGGGGUGUUCAUGGUUUGGAUAAAAACCGAUCCAAACCGAAAAACCAAACCGAUUGAAUAUGUUUUUAUUUUUGAAUUCUCAAUUAGGUAACAUAAUAUAGAUGUUUGGGUUUGGGUACCUUUUAGUUAGAAACAACCUUUAUUAGUCGCUUUAGCUUUUAUAAACUUCGUUUGGCAAAUUCUUUUUAAACACUUCUUUUUGCACCCCUUUAAACUCACUAGAUUUAUUUAAUUUUGUUCAAACUUGACAAUGUCUUUAAAAAAUAUAUAUAAUAUAUUUUGUUCUAAACUCUUAUUUUUUCUAAAACUUUUUCUAAAGGGAGCAUUUUAUCAAUCAAUGAGCAAAUGUCUAAUUUAAUUACCUUUUUCAGCCGUGGACUACGAAUUUGUCUAAAUUGAUCUAAAGAAAUUGCUUUCUUAAAUCUUUUUCAUUCUAAUAAAAUUGCAAAAGAGCUUUUAAAAUAAAAAAUGUUUUCCAACUUGGUUACUCAAUUACUUAAUUUCUAGCACUCAUAUCUUUUUUUUUAAAAAUUUAAUUAACCUAAGUUUGGUCGGUUAAUUGUUUUUUACGGAUCUUAAAGGAUGCCUUACUCCUUUCCUUUAGGAUAAAUUAGAACCCUUACCUAGAAUCAUGCAAGUUAAGAAUUAAAUUGAAGUUAUUUUAGUAUUACUUAGUUAAAUAUUUAGGUGUCCUAAUUCACCAUAAUUAAUUAGGUGGCGACUUCUUAAGUUAAUUAAUUUGAAAAUCACCAAAAUAUUGUACACCGUUUGGACCUAGAAUUAAAAUGGGGGUAUAACAAUACAUAUGAAUAAUUUGUACUUAAAAAGAUGCAAAAAAAUAAUAAUAAUUCUAUUUUGUAUAUUAAAAAAAGAUAAAACAUAUUAUGUCGCAGAUGAAGAGAAAUAUCAAUAUUGUUUUAUAUAUCAAUUAAAAACAUCACAGUAACUCAAUAAAUGUAAUAUUUUUCGUUACAACAUUAAUCCUUCAAUUAAUUCAAGCAUGUGGAUGUUCGUUAUUAAAUAAUCACACAACUUAUUUUGUCACCUCACUCACACAGCCACACAAUAUCUUUAUAAAAAUUUUCACCUUAAUUAUUGUAUUCUAAAUAAACUUGAAUGAAAUAUGUAGUUUAACACUUGAUGGAGAUAUUCUGAGCUAUACAUCAGAGACGGAUCUAGAAUUUAAGUUUUAUGGAUUCAAUAUUAUUUUUAAAGUUAUAGGUUCACAUCUAUUAUUUGUUAUAAUUUUCAUGAAAAUUUAUAGAUAUAUAUUUUGCAUGUAUGUUGCAGUGAAUAUCUUAGAUUAGUGUAUUUUAUUUUCAUGGUUUUUGUAAUAUUUCAUUUUUUUUUAUUUAGGCACCUAACAUAGCUAUAGAGAGCUUUCUUAAACAUACCGAUGAGUUGUUUGCUUUCUCUUCCUCUCUUUCUUCUUGAUUUUGUUUUCCUCUUUCCAUGAUUGCAACUUUCCUUUCAAGUUCUCAAGAUCGGACGUAUAAAUUGUACCUAAAUAAAACUUUACUCUUUAGUAUUUGUUAGCAUUUGUAUUUUCAACACUACAAAACUAUAGUAUAUAUUAUUCUUAUUAAUUUUGUUGAGAUAUUGAUCAAGGUUAGAUAAAAUUAUUUUGACGAAUAGUAAUUUUAGAUGCAAUUAGUCUCUAACACUAGAAAUGUCAAAUAUUAAUCACAUAUAACAUGUUAUGGCGUGAAAAAAUAAACAUAAUAUCCCAAAGUUGGUGCAUUUUAAGAAAAAAGAGUUAAUAAGAUGAAGGAAAAUACAAGUCCAAGAUAUUCGAGAAAACAAAACCUAUCAAUACAAAUAUCUUUCCUGUUUUUAUGCCUCGUAUAUUAUUUUAGCUACCCUCCUCAUCAUGUUCUUUCAUUCCUUCAAACCAUAUGAUAUACGAAACUCAAUUUUGUAAAUAUGUAUGUCUACCUAAUAUUCAUAUUACAAGUUGACUAAGACUUGUGGAGAUGGUGUUGUGGUUUAUGAGAAUUGAUGGGAGCUUACGAGCAACAAUAAAAUUGUCUCCAUGUAACAGUAAAGAAGCCACUAAUGUUUCUACAGUAUCCUCAUGGGGUGCGAUCCUUCCAUUAAUCCUACUAACGUUGGAUGUUUUGUGCCCAAGGCUGCUUUAUUUACAGGACAUUCCUGAUGUUUCUUGUUUUUCAUAGUUCCCUUUAGAUAUUAUAUCCAUGGUAGAAGAUAAAGAAAACAAGAGAGUUUGAAGAUGAACUUACCUUUUGACGGUCUGAAGUUUAGCAAUAUUAGAAGCCCUUGAUUGAGAGAAUGAAAUAGGUAGGUAGAUCUAGAUUUACAAUAAUUCCAAGAUUAUUAACAUACAACUCAACUCAUUGACUUUAGAAUUGUUUAUCAUCUUAAUAUAUGUAUUCAACUUGUCGUAAUUGGCUAACGAUGAAUUUGAAAGGCCAGCACGCACGUAUUGAAAGAAGAAUCAAAUUGAUUGACAGUUAAUAUAAAAUCCAAAGAGCAGAGCUGGAUGGAAUCUGUUGAAAAUGAGCAAGUGGUUGCCAUUUUAUAUAAAGUUAGUUCAGUGGAGACUUUCAUCAAACACAUUGUAGACAGUUUUGAACAGCCAAAAUAUCUAAGCAUUUAGUAAGCCAACUAGAAGCAGAGCUGGAAGGAGUCUAGCAAAUUGGUAAAAUAUUUUUUAAAAAAAUGGAGAAGAACCUGUUCUGGUGCUCCAAUCGCCGGUGUAGACUGACGAGAAUUUACCCCUCAAAUUAUGAUGCACGCGAACUCAUGACUUCAUACUUUCUUUUUUCUCCUUUCAUUAGCGGUGCAUUCAUAUUCUAGAAAUUCUAAAUUCGCUUCUGGGGUGUAGACUUUUAUUAGUAGUAAAAGACUCAAAGAGGAACAUACAAGCCAAUCAGGCCAAACGUUAUCUUACUAAUCCUAAUACGAACAAGAAAGAGAAAAAAAAUCAAAUAUGAUACAAUGCAAUUAUUUGAAAUAAGAAAUGGUAUCAAAUCUUAUUGCUUCAACGUAACUUGACGAUCUUGCUCUUUGUUUUGCAAAUCAAUUAAAUACAUUGAGUUACACAUGGUUUUGGCAACUUGCCUCACAGAAAAGGCUCUUGGAGUAAUAUCAAAUCUCUUAGAGUCGAUACACCUACCCAUCUUGCUUUUAUUGUUCUAUCGGGAGUUACUUCAUGUAUUGCUUGACACAAAACUGAUUGUGGAUUCCUCUUGGAUGAUUCAGGUAGAUAUCCAGGUGAUACAUCUAGCCACACUAGAAAAUAAUUCCGAACAACAGUUCGUGAUUUUUAAUGAGAUUCUUGUCAGUUGUUUCACAGCUAUCAGAACAACAUGAUUUAACCAAAACAGUUGUAUAUUUGUAUUCAACAUCAAGACUCCAACAUGAUUAGUCCACAUUAUGAAACAUAAGAUAAAUUUAUGCCAAAGGAAAUUGGAGACAGAAACUAGGGAAUACAAAAGAUUAAGAUGAUCAUUUAUUGAUCAAAGUCACUGAGGCAACACUUCCAAAAAAAGACAACAAAGGACUGAUAGCAUUUCUCGGAACACUAACCAUAUGCAUCAGGCUUCCACUAAACUUUCUACACUGAGCUUGAUAUCCACCUUAGAGUUGGAACCACCAUCUGAUGACUGCUUAAACUUCACAUAAUUAAGAUAUUUUUUCGAGUUUGUCUACAAAAGCUCAUCAAUCCUAUACUUCAUAGACUUAAAGUUGCCACCUUCAGAAAAGAAGUCACAGUUAUAAGAUUAUAAGUGAUUAAAAUGAGUCUAUUCAAAAUUGAAAAAGAAUUAACUAGGAUGAAGAAUGUUGAUAUUCAUGACAAAAUCAAUACUUCUGUAGCUUGUGGCUCUUGCACAUUUCAGAUUAUGAACUUUCGAAUAACAAUUCUUUUAACAUAUGUAUCACAUUUUGUAUCUUAAGGCCAAUAUCAUAUCAUAUAUUAUUAUAAGUGGGAAGAAUGUUAGGCAAAAGUUGGAUUACCAUUUUGCCCCUACAUUAAAUUAAAAUGUUAUAAACUAUUUAAUAAAUUAAAUACUAAAUAGUAAAUCAUCAUAUUACUACAUGAAUAAUUUAUUUAUACCUUUUACUAAUUAACUUCUAAAAUCAAAUCAAUAAUAACAAUUAAGCUAGACCAAAUACAUGAUUAGAUGUUACAACUAAUUAUUUUUCACUUUUCUUCCCACUUUAUAAUGAGUUUAAAUUAGUAACUCUUUUAGAUUGAAAGCCUCUUAGAAUAUAUAUAUCUGUAUAAAUCUUCAUAUUGAGAAGGUAACAAGCUCUCAUCAACUCACACAAUUUUUUUUGGAAUUUUCUUAUAUUUUUCCUAUUUAAUUUAAUAUUAAAUGCCUAAAAAGCGUUGAUAAAAAGACUACUGUUAAGUAUAAGCCAAAAAGACUCACAAAUUUUGUCAGUUUCAAGAAGAAAGUCCAAAAGUCUCUUAUCCCAAAAUUAAUAAGAAGAAGGAACCUGUUGGCUCAACCAAUGCGUUUGUCACUUUUUGGGGCCUUUUGUGGUGGUAACAUGGUUGAAAGGUAAACUCUUUGUUUUUGUUUAGAUUUAUUUAAUAUCUCAAAUAAUCACAAGUUCUGUUCAACAAGAAAAAACUGUUUAGGCUCCAGUAGCCAAUAAUACGUUUACAUUACUCUAUUUGGUCGUUAAAUUACUGCAGAAGUUGAGCUUUUUUGGAUUUAUUUUGGAUAUGUUCUUCUAUUUGGUGUCUUUAGCACAAAUAUAUUUAUGGUUGUUUUCCUAAUAAACCUUAAUGUGAUUGCAGUUAAAACGUUGUGCAGAGAUGCAGCGCUCCUGAAAAUGUAUAAUCUUGCCAGACAUUUCAUCUAAAUUAUUAAGUGAUUAAUUAUUAUACUGCACAAUAUUAAAAAAAUCUACUCGGCUUUAUUUCAUUAUUUGGGUUUGUAAGGUUGUGAAUAAUCCCUUUCACUUGUGUUUAAGUCAAAUAAUAUAUAACAAAUAAUAAUUUCACUUUCAAUAGAAUUUUACCCAUUAAUCAAUUACAAUUAUUUGAGGAUGCAAUUUUGGUACAUGUGUAGAAGACUUGAAGGUUAUGUUUUUUGAAAUCUUUUUUUUUAUAAUUUCUUUGGCUAGGAAAUACAUGGCUUUUCCUUUCAGUUUCAAAUACAUUCUUAAAAUUAGUUUCUUAUAUUCUUCACUUCUUCAUCUAUUAGGGGAAAAUUAAGAGAAAAAAUUAUUAACAAUUUUUUUUGGUUCCAAUAUGUCAACACAACCAUAUCCAACUACAAAAUGAGGUAUUUAUCUUUUGCUCUUUAUAUUUUUGCAUGAAUUCACAGUUUUUGAUGUACACGGUUUCUCUUUUUAUAAUUUGGGCAUAAAAGGUUAGUUCAUUACACUUUUGUGUUUUAUCAUCAUAUAGUUUUAAUGUCAUUUUUUAUUUAUUAGUUAUCUUUCUUAUUUGGUUAAUAUAUUACUUUCUUUAACUUUUUUCAUUUUGUUGAUAUGAUGACAUUUAUAUUUUAUUGUUUUUCACAUUAAUUGAGUUGAUGUUACAAAUGUUUCAAUACAUGAGAUAGACUUAUAUAAUUUUUAUACGGUAAUAAAGGUCAAACGUGCAAUGCACAUUCCUUGAACUAGUAAGUUAUUAUAUGCAUGACGUACCGUUUUCUUCCUCCAUUUUCCUUUCCCCUUUCCAUGAUUGUACUUUCCAAUAGUCAAUACCAAAGGUCUGAUGUAUAAAAUGUGCUUAAAACUUUAUCAAGAUCAUAGAAGGAAACAAUUCUGCAGAUAUAGUCAGACAUAUAGAAAGGUCAUUUUCGAUAUAUUGAUCAAAUGGCGCUUACAAAACAUUAUCCCACUUUAGACACACAAAAAAUGAGAAGAAGAGUAGUUUAUAAGAUAAAGAAGAAAACAGAAAUAUUAAAGAAAACAAAACCUAUAACCAUAUAGGUCAAGGGCAGAUGUAUAUUGUCGAGACAUAAUAUAAGGCCAUGUAUUUCUACUUAGUUUCAGUUGAGACUUUCAUCAAACUCAUUGUAGACAUCUUUUAACAUUUGCCACUACAGGAAUCAGAACAGCAAAGAAUGGAGAAGAACCUGUUCACAUAUAAUGCUACUUAAAUAACGGGAUAUUCUUCCGGCCAACAACUUGAAGAUCGUCUCCUCCCCUCAUAUCUUCAGCAUAUUCCUUAAUCUUCAUAGCGGAAUCUUCAAGUUGAGGGUUCUUUACAAGUUUGAUAAUUUUGAGUGACCAAAUAUCCCCAAAACUAGGCGGAAUCUCCUCAAGCUUACGACAUCCCUCCAGUUUUAAUUUCUCAAGCGCAGGAAAGGAUUCCUCUCCAACCUCCCACUUGGAAAGAGUCACUUGAUCCAACUUCAAAAAAUUUGAGAUUCUCAAAGGUGUCUUCCUCCUCCAUAUUCCAUUCUUCCCCAUGGAUGAUUGUUUGAUAAAGGGUCAACUCUUCAAGGUUGGGCAGUCUCGCUAUUGUUGAUAGUGAAUCGGAUGUCAGAGGAAAGUUACGCAACGACAAUCUUUUCAAAAUCAAAGGGAAGUGAAAAUUCCAUGACCCACUGUCAUUUGUGUUUGAACUUUCAAAACGUACAUUGAGGUCUUCUAGUUCAGUUAGGCAAUCCAAUUUCGGGAACCAAAAUCGCUCUGUUGCAUAAUCCCAUGAUUCCUUGAGAUCAAAUCCAAGCACUUGAAGAUUGGGAAGCCUUUUGAAAAUAUCCUCUGUAUCUUUCCAAUACGAAAGCACAAGAUUGUUUAAAUAUCUCAAGUUCUCUAACUUUGUGUCCUCUGCUACCAGAAUUGGUUCAUCUGUAUCCAUAUCAAAGAAAUAACAAGUAGGCACUUGCAGCAUUCGCAACUUUACAAGAUCCCAAAUUCUCGGUAAUAGUAUCAAGGUUGAUUCUUCGUUAUCCACCACCAAGAUUUCUAGAUUCCUGAGGUUUGAGAAAGACAAAGGCAGAUAUUUAACUUCUGUCCCAAUUCUUAAGUACCUCAAAUGAUUCAACAUGCAUAUUUCAUUCAGCAAAGAGUCAUUCACCAUGAUAAAAGAGUGAUUCAGGAACAACACUCUAAGAAGCCUCAAGUGUCUUAGGUGAAAUAUAUCAGAAAGACGGUCAUCCAGCAGGUCUCCAUUUAUGGUCAAAGAAUAGAGGUGUUUACCGGAAUGCAUUUUCUUAUUUGAACUGAGCAGGACAAAAUUAAGCACAAAGUGCUCCUCAUCAUCAUCAAUGGAAAUUUUACGUGUCAACAAAUCUGAUGGAGCACUUGAACUUAUCCGGUCGAACAACUUUUCCUUUGUUGCUUUUAUCAAACAAAAGUCAUGCACAAGAUCAUGAAGUUGGCAAGUCGGAUACCUACCUACCUCAUUGAAACAAAUUACCAAGCUACUGGAAAUUAAAUCAUCCAAAUAAAUCUUCACCACUUCUUCCAUACUCUUCAUUUCCGUCUUUUCCACAAGCCCUUCAGAAAUCCAUAUAGCUUUCAAUGCAUAGAAUGUCAUUGCACAGUCCUUCGGCAUACUUGCAAAGUAAAGCAAGCAUGGCUUCAGGUGAUCAGGUAAGUGGUCAUAACUUGUUUACUAUAACUUUCAUCACUUCCACUUCAUUCUUCAAAAUAAAGGAAUGCAAAUUAUUUACAACUUCAAGCCACACACUCUUUUUCUUUUCCCUCCCAGCAAUGACUCCAGCAAUCAAAUCCACCACCAAAGGAAGCCCUUUACAAUUUUCGGCUAUUUCUUUCCAACAUCCAAUAGUUCAUUAGGGCAACUCUCGUUUCCAAAUGCCCUUUUCUCUAAUAACUCCCAACUUUCUUCUGAUCUUAGCAAUCGAAGGUUAAGAGGAUCAGUGUAGAUCAUUCCAUGCAAAGCCACUUCCUUUUCUCGAGUUGUCAAAAUAAUUCUACUUCCUUUCUCAACUUCUGGAAAAGGUCUUGUUAACUCAUCCCAUGUAGUAGUAUCCCACACGUCAUCUAAGACAAUAAGAUACCUCUUUCCAUACAAUUGUUUCCGUAGCUUAUCAGCAACAUCAAUAUUCUCAUUCAAUUUUGAAUCUGAGCCAUUAACUUGAUUUAAAAUUUUAUUCAACAAAUUCUUCUCGUCAUAAUCUUGGUCGACUGUGCACCAUGCACGAAGGUCAAAGUGAUUAGAAAUUGAUUGAUCAUUGUAUACUUUGUACGCGAGAGUAGUUUUACCUGAACCCGGCAUGCCAGUGAUCGAAAUGACAUCUAGAUAGGCCGGUCCACCGGUAAGCUUUCUAAUUAUCCAGGUCGUCUCCUCCUCAAAACCUACAAUUAUUUUACUAGUUUUCAAUGACUUGCUCUCAACUGGCUUCUUGGGAGAGUUCAGAACAAUGAGAACUCUAUUCUCAGGAAUCUUCUCAUGUAAAUUGGAGAAAUCUUCUUUGAUAAGCUUGAUCUUCUGUAUGGUAAUGGGAAGUGAGAAAAUAAGAUGUAAGAGACCAUUAUCUCGAACAAUAAUUGAAUCUAUGACAUCUUUUGCCUCAUAAGCCACAUCUAGAACACGUGCCCAGAGAUCUUUAUACAAUCUUUUCUCAACAUUCACAAAGAGCGAUCUUAUGAAUUUCAGGUCUUGUCUCACCAACUCAAUUUCUUCCUUUAUCAAAGCAAUUGAAUAAGCAUUGGAAUCUAGCAAAUCAUUCAAAUGUAUGUGUAGUAGAUGCAUGAAGAGCGGUCCAUCACUCAUGGGGAAGCAACAUUGAGAUGAGUCCGGGGCUUUCAGAUAAACAUGUUUGAGAUCUUCCUUGAGGAGUUCAAUAUUUUCCAGCAACUUUAGGGUUGCACGAUUUGUCUCAUUGGUACUCUCUUUAUUCCUUAAUUCCUCUUCUAAGUCGCGAACAAGAGUUGAGACCUCCUUUAUUAGUGCUCCAACAAGUGCCAAAAGAUCAAAUAAUUUGUCAUGAUGAAUAAAGUCCUUGGGCAUAUCAGAAAGAAUAAUUAAUAGGAACUCAAUCACGACAUGAAUGUUUUGAGCCCCUAAAGUGCUUGAGGUAAUAACAGUUACCAUGUGCUCUUCUAGAUGAAUUAGAUAUUCCCUAAGAAUUUCUGGAGAGGUUUCUAAGAGCUGCUUAAUGAAGUGUCCAACUUUUUCAGAAGUUGAAGCUUUCAAAUUUGUAAAACAUAUGUUCAUAACCUCCAGCUCAAUUGGAAUAAUCUUCAUGAGUAGAUGUGCUAGCUUGAAGAGUUGAGACUUUCCACCAAUUUGACCAUCCCAAAGGAAGCAUCCUACUCUCUCAGCCAUGAGUUGAAACUGAGGUAAGACAUAUUCAACAAUCUCGUGCUCAACGCAACCAUUCACUAUCAAACCAUGGAAAUCGCACAUGUUGCCACACACAUUCUGAAGAAUCUCAUACUGAGUCACUAAUGGAAACUUCUGUUCAGCAAAAUACUUGGAUAGAUGAUGGAGAUUCAGGAGGAGGAAGUUCAACUGCUCCUCAAGCAUGGUGGCACUUGAGUUUGAACGAUGAUGUGAACUGAUACAAUGAUCGAUAUUAUCCCUGAGGCUAGCAAGGACAUGAAGCAUGUCGUAUUUACACCCGACGUUGUUGUCAACAUCAUACAGAAUUGAUCGAAGUAAAUUCUCAGCCUCUUGUCCUUUGAAAGUCAUUACAUCUUCAAACUUCUCCAAAUUGGAAUAAGAAAGCUGGGCGUAUGUACAAAUAAAUGCCAGCUCCGAUUUCAGUUUUUCAACUUGAUCCUCGUCAAGAGCUUUUUGAUUUUCCUCAUUCUUUAAUAUCUCUAGGAAAUCCAGAACAUCAGCAAUGUCCUUGAGAAGAGCAGAAAGUAACACCUGCCAAAAGAUGAAAUGUCAUAUCAAAUUUUCAAAGCCACAUAUCUACAAUUCAAUACUUUACUCUAUCAAAUAACAUACAUCCGAUGAGUUGUUUGUUUUCUCUUCCUCGCUUGCUUCUUGAUUUCCUUUUUCUGUUUCCAUGAUUGCAAUUUUUCACUAGCCAGUGAAAAAGUAAAUUUUCCUUCCUUUCCCUUCAAGUUCUCAAGAUCUGAUGUACAGAGAGUACGUACAUAAAACUUUAUCAAGAGAAAGAAGUGGUUAAGUGUAGAAAAACCAUACAAGAAACUGCAGUAAAAAGUCAUAGCACAAAACAACUUUGCAGAUAUAGAAUUGGGAUCUGUCAAUUUUUUUUGUAAUUGUUCGCUUGUUGUCAAGUUUAUUUCAUUCACAUAAACAGAUUUAGUAAUUUUUGAUGCAAUUAGUGUCUAACACCAGAAAUGUCAAAUCUUAAUCAUAUAUAAUAUGUUAUGACAUGAAAACAUAAACAUAAUAUACCAAAACUGUUGCUUUUUGAAAAAAGGAGUUUAUGAGAUAAAAGGAAAAUACAAGUCCCAGAUAUUCAACAAAACAAACCUAUCACUACAAAUAUCUUUCCUGUUUUUAUACCUAGUAUAUUAUUUUAUCUACCUUCCCCAUCAGUGGCGGAUCCAGGAUUUAGAGUCCGUGGGUGCCAAAUAAACUUAUCGAUUAAAUUAAUUUUAUAUUCGAUUAAAUUAAAAACGUCAAUAACAAUUAUAAAAAAAUAAAAAUAAUGUGCAGCUGUUUUCCUUAAAAAAAGGGGCUUGGGGUCUUUUUUUUUAACUUAAAAACGUCAGCAGCAUUUUUUCAAAAAAAUAGGUUCAAAUGGGAUUCGAACCCGCAACCUCAACCUUCUAAAGUUGCCCUCCUACCAUGGCACCACAAGCCAAUUUUGUUCUGUGGGUGGCACGCUUUAUAUUUAUAUAAAUAUUAUGUAUAUAUACCUAUGUAUAUAUAGAGUUUCCGUCGAAGUUCGGGGGUGGCGUGGCACCCCCAAGGCCCUUCAUAGAUCCGCCCUUGUUCCCCAUUAUGUUCUUUCAUUCCUUCUAACCAUAUGAUAUACGAAACUCAAUGGCCCAACAAAUGCGGAUUCUAACUGCAUAGUCAUAGUUAUUAUGAUUAAAUCAGAGGAUAAUCUUCCGUGUUAUAUUUUUGAUUCAUACGGAAAAAUGACAACCCUAGAAAAUUUCCAAUAGUAAGCAGAAAACUAGGAAGAAAAGAAAUAAGAGACCUUCAACAUAAUUAUCUUUAUCUUUUGACCAACCACUUUAAGUUCAUCAAGCCAUAUUCUUGGACAGUGGUAAGCUAUAAAAUUCAGAAAGAUUUUUUGUGAGAGUAGCUGAAGUAGAAUCAAUAGAGACACCGAGUGUAACACCCCAGAGAAUUUUUCGAACUAAGACACGAGCCGUCCUUCAUGUGGAGUGAGAUUUUACCGAGGAAUAAAAAUUUCUUGAGUGUUAAGGUCCCUAGAUGUAGCACAUUGAGUUCCAAGAAGAGUUGAAUUGGAAAUAGUCAUUUUUGGAAAGAUUUCAAAAUCUGGAAAAUUUGGCUAAGUAUGGAAAAAGGGUGAGUUUUUGGUCAACUUUAGCAGUCGUAACUCCUAGCUCAGGAUGAGUUAGGUGUAGUUCCAAUUAUGGUUGCGAAGUUCGUGGAAUGAUAUUUCCAACGCCAUUGAGUUUGCUCAAUUCCGAGUUCGUAUGAAUGAGUUAUGCCCUUUGGAAGUUGGGCAGUUGGCAGGGAAUCCAUCCGGAAAUUUUAAGGGCAUUUUGGUCUUUUCCCUAAUCAAUUCUUUUGGUUAUAUAUUAGUGUUAGACUGAUUUUUUGAUCAGGUUUUACCAUUUUAAAAGAGUGAGAGUGAGGGUUUUGAGUGAAGAAGAGAAGAAGAGGAGAAGAAGAAGAGAAAGAGGAGAUCAAGCAAGUUUCCGUCGUGGAUAUCGUCGAGGGUGAUCCCUACUAGGUAUGUGAGUUCAUAGUGUUGGGUNNNNNNNNNNNNNNNNNNNNNNNNNNNNNNNNNNNNNNNNNNNNNNNNNNNNNNNNNNNNNNNNNNNNNNNNNNNNNNNNNNNNNNNNNNNNNNNNNNNNNNNNNNNNNNNNNNNNNNNNNNNNNNNNNNNNNNNNNNNNNNNNNNNNNNNNNNNNNNNNNNNNNNNNNNNNNNNNNNNNNNNNNNNNNNNNNNNNNNNNNNNNNNNNNNNNNNNNNNNNNNNNNNNNNNNNNNNNNNNNNNNNNNNNNNNNNNNNNNNNNNNNNNNNNNNNNNNNNNNNNNNNNNNNNNNNNNNNNNNNNNNNNNNNNNNNNNNNNNNNNNNNNNNNNNNNNNAAUCUUGAAUUCAUAAUUCAAAUUCAAGGUAGAGUUGAGAGUUAUGUUUUGAGAAUUCUUUCGAAUAUUCUAAGGAAAUCCCUUUGAGUCUUUUUGAGGAGUCUUCUACAAUUUCUAGUAACUUGUUUCAAGACUCGAGCAAGUGAGUAAGAGAAUGAGAAGUGUCGUAUACAUGAGUUCCAUGUAGCUUGUACACCUUCGAUUCAAGUCGCUCAUGCCCAUAAUUCGACAUGAACCAUAUUUUAAAAAGUCUUUUACAAAUGUUUAAACCUUGUUUUAAGACUUAAGCGUAGAAGUAAGCAAGUCAAGCAAAGAGCUUAGAGUUUCAAGUCAAGAAAUGGUAUAGAGUUUCAAGUCAAGCAAAGAGCUUAGAGUUUCAAGUCAAGAAAAUGGUAUAGAGUUUCAAGUCAAGCAAAGAGCUUAGAGUUUCAAGUCAAGAAAAGGGUAUAAAGUUUCAAGUCAAGCAAAGAGCUUAGAGUUUCAAGUCAAGAAAAGGGUAUAGAGUUUCAAGUCAAGUAAAGAGUUUAGAGUUUCAAGCUAAGUAAAGAGUCUCAAGUUUCAAGUUGAGUCAAGAGUUUAAAGUUGAGUUCAUUUCUCAAAAGCUAUUAGGGAACUAUGUAUCCCCAAAGAAGUUUCUAAAUGUUUUUUUACAUUUGAGUAAGAAAGGGAGUAUGAUUUCCAAAAAAGCCUUUGGGCUAGUUUUCAAGAAAAGGAACAUCGUUUCCAAGUGAGCCUUUGGGCUAGAUUUUGAGUAAUUAUCUCACUUAAAGAAAGAUGUGUUUAAAACACUUAUGAGCUAAAGUAUUUUAGGAGUAGUAUCGAGCACCGAAUUGGGGGAGCGUUCAAAGAACCCACAGCCCCCAUAGAACCAUGUUAGCCACCAUGGGUAGAAAAGGAUCAUACUUUUUAGAUGAAUCCUUUUCAGAUUAGACUAGUGNNNNNNNNNNNNNNNNNNNNNNNNNNNNNNNNNNNNNNNNNNNNNNNNNNNNNNNNNNNNNNNNNNNNNNNNNNNNNNNNNNNNNNNNNNNNNNNNNNNNNNNNNNNNNNNNNNNNNNNNNNNNNNNNNNNNNNNNNNNNNNNNNNNNNNNNNNNNNNNNNNNNNNNNNNNNNNNNNNNNNNNNNNNNNNNNNNNNNNNNNNNNNNNNNNNNNNNNNNNNNNNNNNNNNNNNNNNNNNNNNNNNNNNNNNNNNNNNNNNNNNNNNNNNNNNNNNNNNNNNNNNNNNNNNNNNNNNNNNNNNNNNNNNNNNNNNNNNNNNNNNNNNNNNNNNNNNNNNNNNNNNNNNNNNNNNNNNNNNNNNNNNNNNNNNNNNNNNNNNNNNNNNNNNNNNNNNNNNNNNNNNNNNNNNNNNNNNNAGGAUGGUCCUUGGGCAACGUGAGGUAAAAUGUUGUAUCACCACUUAGUUUCAUAAGCGGUGGUUGUUGGUUAGAGAAACUCCCACAGCAGAAAUUGCAUGGUCCCUCGAGGGGUUCUGUUUGGUAUGGGUGGGGGUAUGGGACUUCAUUCAUGCAUUGCACAAGGAAGGUAGAACUAGUAUACUGUUACUGAUAUCCCUCGAGUAGGAAUCUACUGAUAUGAAUAUUUAACUCAUUCACGAGGAGUUCACUGUUAUUGGUUACUUCUUAAAGAGAAGGCCACACUGAUUACAUGAUUCAUCCUUGGAAACCUCCCAGCUAUAAGAUUUGAUAUGAAAGUGUUUUCUGAGUUUACUACUAAGAUUUGAUAUAAAAGUGUUUUUCUGAGUUUACUACUAAGUGUUUACAUUGAUUUAUCUUACAUGAGGCAAAUAAGAUUGAAUAAUUUUUACUUUAACUUUUAUCAAAAAAAAGAUUGAAUAUUGUUACCGUUUCUGAAAAAGGCGUUGAUUUUAGCAAUUUGACUAUCAUACUAGCAUGUUUUCUGACUUGUCCCUCAUUACAACGGUUGCGGUUAAGUGUUAUUACUCACUGAGCUAGCGUCUCACUCCUCGCUUUAUUUUACAGAGAAUGCAGGUCACAGGGGUAAUGAUUUCUUUAACUAGAGCUUUCGAGUUGAUAAUUCGAGGUGAGACCCGCACUUGUUCGCGUGGACAAAAAAUAUUUUUUACUAUAGUAAAAAUAAAAGAUAAUCUCAAAAAUAUUUUUCAUUCAUAAAUCAAACACUAAAAAUCUUUUUCGGAAAAUAUUUUCUAAUCAUCAACCAAACAUGAGAAAAUAAGUCAACUUUGCCCUUAUUGAUUUCUGAUACAGGUAAUUUCAGGAUAGGCCCAAAAACAGAGGAAACUUUGCCCGAUUUUCUGUAGAUUUCUGGUUAAGGCUUGCUUUGGGAUUCUUUCCCUUAGUGCCGGUCACAGACCUAAUUUGGGUCGUGACAUUAAUAAUCUGUCUAAUAAUAUUUUUCUCCUGUCCCGACUUGGGCUAAUGGAAAAAAUUACUUAUUUUGAUAAAACUAAUAAGAUUUUUUGUGAGAGUAGCUGAAGUAGAAUCAAUAGAGACCCCGAGAGCUCUGAUUAAGCAUAUUCAUACCUUUAGACAUAUUUUUGUUAGACAGGUUGAAGUAAGAGAUUGAAGAAUUAGUUUGGUUGAAAGGCAAACAACAAAAAGACAAAUCAAAAUAGCUAGAUCUAGAAUUCCAAGAUUACUAAAAUACAAUUCAUUGACUUCACAACUCCUUUAAAUACCGAAAGUGCUCACUUUUUAACAAAUCUAAAUGGAUGAAAACUACUCAGAAGAACUUUUAAGAGAAAAUUUCAAGCCUACUCCAAACGUAAAGGGAUCGUUUUUAUCAUUUUCUUGACUACCCACAUCAUGUUACUAUGCUGUCAAUAAAGUUUAGCAAACAAGAUCGUACCUUUACUCAGGCUGAAGUUUAGCUACAGAACCCUUUGUUUGAGAAAUGAUGCUGAAAAGUGGCAAAGAGAACAAACUAUUGGAUAAAAAAGAAGUGUAGUUGAAAGACCAACAACAGAAAGAAGAAUCAAAAUAUACAAUUCAUUAAUCAAUUGUUAAUUCUUCUGCUAGGAAGUAAUUGGUUACUUGAAAGGCCACCACCAGCAUAUAAAUAAGAAUGAAAUAUUAAAAUACAACCCUUUGGCUUCUCAAGUCUUUUUUUAAUCAAUUAUUUGCAUCUCUCUUGUCUUUGACAAUAUGUGACCUGUAAAAUACUAAUCUAAUAGAAGCACAGCCAAUUUUUAGACAAGUAAAACUGUUGAAAAUGAUGAAGAUAAAAACAAGUGCUUGCCAUUUUAUAUAAGUUCAUUUGAGAAUUUCAUCAAACACAUUGUAGACAUUGUCAAUUUCCACUACAAAAAUUCAAUUAGUUGCUUGUUACUUGGAUGAUUCUGAGAUCUGCCAAUUAGAAGCAGAGUUGGAAGGAAUCUAGCCAAUAUUUAUACAAUAAAAUGUUGAAAAUGACAAGGAAAAAAAAACAAUAUCUACUUAAAUAUUCAGAAAUAGUUCAUUUGAGACUUUCAUCAACCAAAUUACAGACAUUGUUUAGCAUUAACAAUUUCCACUACAGACAUUCUGUUAUAGAAUGUAUAUAGAAUUCAUUCCUAGUUAAGUACAUAGCCAUAUUUAGACAAUAGAUUUGUAGGAAUCGUCUUUUAUUUCUUUCCCAAGUUAGCACACAAUCUAUUGUAAUUAUACAUUGCUUACCCAUUGAAAUAAGACAACUUCUUCCAUCUUGAGAUCAAGUCCACGCUCCAACUGGGCCUGACAUAAAGGCGGGGUUAGAGUGGGUUGGAUUGACAACCUGCUUAUAAGGACUUAGACAAUCCUCUCUUCAUGAGCUAACAAAUAUUGUGUAAGAAGGAAGAACUUGUUGUUCUCCGGAUUUUUCCCUUUUUUGCACCCCACAAUGAAAUUCCUAGUGUAAUUUUCAUUUUUUUCUAGAAUUGUAUUCCGAAAUCGUAUUUGGACAUAGAAUUAUUACAAUUCUCCUCCGAAAUUUAACUUGAAUAUUCCAAAAUUCAAAAAAAAAUCCAAAUACCUGUUUUCACAUUUUCCGCUCCAAAUCACUCACAAAAAUUCAACAUUUUCUCAAAUUAUAUUCAAUUUUUUUAUUACUGUGGUGUUCGGACCAACUUUCACACUUUGAUAUGCUGAUAUUUGAACCUGAGACCAAAUGGUUCUCAUUUCUCAGUCACUUCAUGGACCAUUAGGUCCACACUGCUGGGUGCCAAGUUAUAUUCAUGUCCAAACAUCACUCGGCCAUCCAUAUACCAUUUUUCAACAUUGUCUUUUUUUUUUCCUUCUAAUUUCACAUUUUUAAUGUUCAAAUGCUCACUUAUACUCUGCUUGUUUAUUUCAAAAAAUUCCAACAGAUUUGAAUUCCAUUUGCAUAAUGUAAUUGUAAGGGUCAAGGCAUACACUUGAUAUUUUCUCAAAAGUAAAGACUUGAUACACAUAAUUCUUCAAAAAGAGUCACAACUAAUUAACUAACAAGUACAUUACAACACCAUUUUCAUCAGAGGAACAAAUUUAACAUGCUCAUAAUAUUACCCAUCCAAAAACAUAAUAGUAUUUGUUACUACUAAUCCCUCGGUCAAGGGAAAAAUUGAUGGUGUAUGAGCUUCAAAAGCCUUCUUCAAUAACCUUUAUCUCCCAUGUUCCGUCGACUACAACCAGCAUGCUAAAAAUACACAAGGGGCUUGAGCAAGAAAUUGCGGAGAAAAUGAUCAACGUAGAACUGAUACUUGCAGUUUUUCCUAUACAGAAUCCAUGGAGCAAUUCCUUGUUCUAUAUGAUGUUGAUUCUGAUGCAUCUCCAUCAACGGUUCAAACAAAAUCAGGCAUGUCGAACCUCCAUCCUGCCAUUGUCCUGUAUAUGUAGAGUUUCUCAACAGGGAAACUUUCUGGCCUCGUAUCCGGAUGACCGCUCUCAUCUAGCAGCUUACAUUGUUAAAAUUUGACAAGAUUCAAAGAUGAAUUAAUGUGAGGAUUUGGUAGUUAAGAAGAUAAUUCCUCAUUGGUACAAAAGUCAAGAUAGCACCUUUUGUAGGUGAAAUUUAGGUGAACCAUAAAAUGGUUUCACAAGGUAAAUCUUGACAUUUUGACAAAUUGUGAUGUCAUGGAUGACAUCAAUAGGAAGAAUUCACUCCUAUAAAUAGGUGGCUCCUAAUUCAUUUGUAACACACCUCUCACUUGCCUUCUCAUCUUCAAAGGCAUUUGUUCUUCUUUCUCUUGUAGUAUUUCACUUGUACUCUUUUGGAGUGAAAUAAAUAUUGGUUGGUUGUGUCCGAGGAGAAGGCAAAAGAAAACAAAAUUUUGCCGAACCUUGUAAAUUUCUGGUGUUUCUUUUGUUGUUGUCUCAUUUACUAUUUAUUAGUUACCUUUAGAUAUAGCAAUUGUGAUUUCAUCACUCUCUAUAUAUUCGGCUUCCGUAACAUACAUGUGUCAUGACUUACUGAACAAGAAGACAGCCAAAUAUAUCGCAUCGUCUCCAGCCUUGCAGCAUUGACCAACAGUGCCUUUUUGACGAAAGGGGAGUCUCUGGUCUCCACCUUACAAAGGCUUUCAAAACCAGAGAGAAUGUCGUGAAGGCCUAGAUAACAUUCCCCGCAAAAGCUACGAAGAGCAUCUCUAGCUUCUUAGCAUGAGCCGGGGCUCCGAUGUAAUGGAAGCGCGAUCCGUAAGGAGGCCAGAAAGGGAAAGUCAUUGCAAACUUGCAAUCCCUUGCAGUGGUGAGUGAUGGCCCCAAAACCAGUAUCCAGCAGUCCAAGGGUUAGGUAAUCAGGAGUUUGAGGCUUGAGUAAACACAAAUGAAACCGAAUCAAGUUAAACCAGUUCCUUGCAAUUGUAACCAAGGGGGCAUUUGUCAUUUGGCAGCAGAAGUAUAGAACCAAGUGGAGCCAGCUUGAGAUAGCUCUGUCAAGGAUACAUUCAGUUCUUGUGCAUAAGGAAAUACCCUUAUUAAGUCCUUACAAUAGUUGGCUAUCUCCUCAAGACCAAUAAUCUUGCACCUGUAGUCACAUUCAGAUGCAAAGAUUAAAACUUUUUUCACACAGCAGUACUCAUGAAGGUAGAUGAUUGAUAACCAUGACAAGUUUUUCUAUUUUAUUACAAAUGCAGUUACUGUAUUGAGUCUUGAAACUAUCGACACACAAAUCUAUACAAAAGUUAAGCUGAGAUAUAGGAUAACUUUCAUAUAGAACAGAAGUUGCAAACCUUUUGUAUUCUUUCCCAUCAUAGCAGAGAGUUCUUGGAAUACAUAUUCACCACAACAGAAAAAAGAAUUGUAACCAUCUUCUUUACAUGUGAUCUGCAAAUAAAAUUAAACUGGUCAAAGUAAUUGGAAAAAGAAAUACUUCAACUAGCAAAUGGAUACGUUGAUUUGAAUUUUGAAAGCUCUAUGUCGACGCUUUUGUUGGAAAAUUUAGUACUGUUAAACUCUUCAAAUAUAUUUCUCAAAUAUUUCUACUUAGUAUUCACAAACAGACUGUUCAGUUUGGACUUUCAUCAAACACAUUGUAGACAUCUUUUAACAAGAAUCAACAACAAAAGAAUGGAGACGAACCUGUUCACAUAUAAUGCUACUUAAAUUACGGGAUAUUCUUCCUGCCAACAACUUGAAGCUCGUCUCCUCCCCUCAUAUCUUCAGCGUAUUCCUUAAUCUUCAUAGUGGAAUCUUCAAGUUGAGGGCUCUCUACAAGUUUGAUAAUUUUGAGUGACCAAAUAUCCCCAAAACUAGGUGGAAUCUCCUCAAGCUUACGACAUCCCUCCAGUUUUAAUUUCUCAAGCGCGGGAAAGGAUUCCUCUCCAACCUCCCACUUAGAAAGAGUCACUUGACGUAACUUCAAACAUUUGAGAUUCUCAAAGGUGUCUUCCUCCUCCAUGUUCCUUUCUUCCCCCUCGAUGAUUGUAUCAUAAAGGGACAGCACUUCAAGGUUGGGCAGUCUCGCUAUUGUGGAUAGUGAAUCGGAUGCCAGAUGAAAGUCACCCAACGACAAUUUUUUCAAACUCGAAGGGAAGUGAAAAUCCCAUGGCCGAUUUAUGGCUGCAGAGGACCCACUGUCAUUUGUGUUUGAUCUUUCAAAACCUACAUUGAGGCCUUCUAGUUCAGUUAGGAAAUCCAAUUUCGGGAACCAAUAUUGCUCUGUUGAAUAAUCCCAUGAUUCCUUGAGAACAAAUGAAAGAUCUUGAAUAUUGGGAAACCUUUCGAAUAUAUGCUCUGCAUCCAUAUCAAAGAAAGAACAACCAGUCGUGAUGAGCACUCGCAACUUUACAAGAUCCCAAAUUCUCGGUAAUAGCAUCAAUUCUUCGUUAAUUACCAACAAGGUUUCUAGAUUCCAGAGGUUUGAGAAAGAUAAAGGCAGAGAUUCAACUUCUGUCCCAAUGCAUAAGAACCUCAAAUGAUUCAACAUGCAUAUUUCAUGCAGCAAAGAAUCUUUCACCUUGAUAAAAGAGGGAUUCAGGUACAACAAUCUAAGAAGCCUCAAGUGUCUUAGGUGAAAUGUAUCAGAAAGACGGUCAUCCAGCUGGUCUCCAUAUAUGGUCAAAGAAUAGAGGUGUCUACCAGAAUGCCUUUUCUUAUUUGAACCGAAGAGGACAAAAUUAAGCCCAAAGUGCUCCUCGUCAUCAUUAUCAAUGGUAAUUUGACGUGACAACAAAUCUGAUGGAGCACUUGAACUUAUCAAAUUAAACAACUUUUCUUCUCUGGCUUUUAUCAAACAGAAGUCAUGCACAAGAUCAUGAAGUUGGCAAGUUGGGUAACCACCUAUCUCAUUGAAACAAAUUACCAAGCUACUGGAAAUUAAAUCAUCCAAAUAAAUCUUCACCACUUCUUCCAUACUCCUUAUUUCCGUCUUUUCCACAAACCCUUCAGCAACCCAUACAUCUCUUAGCUCAUCGAUUUUCAUUGCACUGUCCUUUGGCCAACUUGCAAAGCAUAGCAAGCAUGGCUUCAGAUGAUCAGGUAAGUGGUCAUAACUUAUUUCUAUAACUUUCGUCACUUCAUUCUUGAAAAUAAAGGAAUGCAAAUUAUUUACAACUUCAAGCCACACACUCUUUUUCUUUUCCCUCACAACAAUGACUCCAGCAAUCAGAUCCACCACCAAAGGAAGCCCUUUACAAUUUUCGGCUAUUUCUUUUCCAAUAUCCAAUAGUUCAUUAGGGCAACUCUCGUUUCCAAAUGCCCUUUUCUCUAAUAACUCCCAACUUUCUUCUGAUCUUAGCAAUCGAAGGUUAAGAGGAUCAGUGUAGAGCUUUCCAUACAAAGCCAC